CACGCAAAUUGGGGCGGGCCUAGUGCGGAAAGAUACCGGAAGUGUUUCUGUGGCCAUCUUGAACAGAUCGCAAGCUAAAUCAUCCAUCUUAGGAGGUACAGACUACAGGGGGCCGUGGCUUCCUCUUAACCGCGGCAGCUGCUGAUAAAUACUGUACUAUUAACAGUGAGGCCCGGCGUAAUUUCCUUAUUAGAGGGCUUCUUUACGUCUCUUCAUCCCAAACUGGGAAAUGAUGCUGUUGACUGGGGCAAAGAAUAAUGGGAGAAAAACAGCUGGGUCCUAAAUAACAGAGGGAAACCAACUUUCAAUAAAGUAUUCAACAACUAAUCCACAAAGCAGAUAACUGAACUUGCUGGCCUGCUCUAUAGUGCUGUUGCUUAAAAAGUCAUCUGUGAAGAAAACCAGAGGGAGAAAUUUCACCUGCCAAAGUGGAUAAAGAGGUAUAAACUCAAACCCAUCUUGAAUUUGAGCAGUUAUGGAUAUGCCCUUGCUCAGUAUAUCGGACUAUCAACACCCAGCCCAUGUUCUAAUCUAGCUUCAGUUAUUGCACCCUGCCCCUGGCUGGGCGAGGUGGCUCACACCUGUAAUCCCAGCACUUUGGAAGGCUGAGGUGAAAGGAUUGCU
This 624-nucleotide long non-coding RNA is filed under the name Homo sapiens (human). RNAcentral describes it as "HSALNT0295332". Lineage: Eukaryota; Metazoa; Chordata; Mammalia; Primates; Hominidae. The record is from RNAcentral.